Mercurialis annua (annual mercury) is the source of this 988-nucleotide long non-coding RNA. RefSeq lists it as uncharacterized. The record is from RefSeq and is a predicted model, not a curated record. The transcript is spliced from 2 exons. Lineage: Eukaryota; Viridiplantae; Streptophyta; Magnoliopsida; Malpighiales; Euphorbiaceae.
AAUUUUUAUUCAUUUUCUAGACUUUUAAAAAUGUUACUUUUUAACCUAUUAUUUAAUUUUAUGCUUUAAUUAUGUCGUAUUUUUUAAUUUGAGAGGUUGUGUGUGAUUAUUUUACACGUGAUUUAAUUUUUCAAAAUUGAGAUUUUAUUUCAAUAGGCAGAAGAAGAAGUGAGGAGUAAUAAUUUUUAGUAGCUAGAGAAAAUAGAGAGAGGUCAGAUGGUCCUUUUUAUUGAUCUAGGAUGAGUUGGGAAACCAUGUAGCUAGUAGGGGUGAGCAAAAACCGAACCGAACCGAAAAACCGAACCGAUCCAGACCAAAAAAGAUUAUGGAGUGGUUAAAAUGGUUAAAACGGAGUGGUUUGGUUUAGAAUUUUUAAGAUUUCCGGUUUUCGGUUAUGGUUUGGAUUUAGAGCUCGGUUAACCGAACCGAACCGAAAACCGAAAACCCUAAAACUCUGCCGUUUAAUGUAAUUUAGGAGGGGUUAUUUUGGAAUUUACUUACACCUAAAAAAUGAUGCCCUAAUUCACUAUCCCCAACCUGCCGUUUCCCACUCUUUCAUUUUUCACUCUAAUCUAAGCCUUUUCCCUUUCCUUCUCUCUAUUCUCUCAAAUUCUCCAUUGUUGGAUAAAUCUUGUUUCAAAAGUUUAAAAUUUUAUUUUUCUUCUCUAAAUUAUUAAAGUAUUCUACUGCACCUAAUUAUAAUAAACUCAAAAAAAAUUGAUAUUUCUUCCUCAAAUGAUCUAAACGGCUGCACAUAGUUUGUGAUUAGUAGAUUGAGCAUGCAGAUUUCUCGUCUUUUACGGACAACCAGCUUUUACUUUGGAUCUGUGGGUAAAGAAAGAGCUAAAGAAGAAAUUAACAAAUUUUAGUUGUUCUUGCAUUGUAGUUUUAGAUCGGUUGAUUAAAAUGUAAAAGAAAUUAACAAUCAAUUAAUGUAAUCAAACCACAUUUAUGUAUAUAGAAUUAUUUAUAUUUUUAUUUAUUCGAA